GAUGAACGCUGGCGGCGUGCUUAACACAUGCAAGUCGAACGGAAAGGCUCCUGCUUGCAGGGGUACUCGAGUGGCGAACAGGUGAGUAACACGUGGGUGAUCUGCCCUGCACUUCGGGAUAAGCCUGGGAAACUGGGUCUAAUACCGGAUAGGACGAUGGUUUGGAUGCCAUUGUGGAAAGUUUUUCGGUGUGGGAUGAGCUCGCGGCCUAUCAGCUUGUUGGUGGGGUAAUGGCCUACCAAGGCGUCGACGGGUAGCCGGCCUGAGAGGGUGUACGGCCACAUUGGGACUGAGAUACGGCCCAGACUCCUACGGGAGGCAGCAGUGGGGAAUAUUGCACAAUGGGCGCAAGCCUGAUGCAGCGACGCCGCGUGGGGGAUGACGGCCUUCGGGUUGUAAACUCCUUUCGCUAGGGACGAAGCGCAAGUGACGGUACCUGGAGAAGAAGCACCGGCUAACUACGUG
RNAcentral lists this ribosomal RNA (465 nucleotides) under uncultured bacterium. Its description in RNAcentral is "partial 16S ribosomal RNA". It matches the Rfam family "Bacterial small subunit ribosomal RNA", at positions 28 to 507 of the family's 1533-position model. The record is from RNAcentral.